UCUGACCGUCUUUCGCUCAGUGUCAGUGCGAGCAGGCACGGAAUAUUUUUUAGAGGGAGAUGUUCUGUCAUUUGCUCUUGACAAGUCGAAACUUUUUGCUUGGGACGCAGUGUUUACGUAGUAAAGUUUGUGUGGUGAUUUGGUGUAGUGUUUCAUAAAUUCUCAAGUGCAGUUUAUUACCAGACCAAAUUAGGCCAAAUUACCAAAUUAGGUCAAUAAAUAGGAAAGGUUUGCAGUGAAUACAAUCAGUGUGUAAAUAUCGGAUGUUUUGCGGACGCAUUGCUUCAUGCGUUAAGCAAUCCUGAAGUGGACGUGAUCGCCGUUUUGUGGAUAUUUACACAAAGCAGAAAAUAGUGAACAACUCGGCUAUUCUGGAAGAGAAUGAUGAUUUCGAUUCGAAGCGGACGCCUGGUGCCUCAUAAAACAGGUGUCGUUGGACAACCUCCACAUUCGUCCUGCCAAAAGAUGGGAAGAUGUUCCCUCCUGUGUUAUUUCUAAGAAGAAAAAAAGACAGAUCACACUCUGUGUGGGAAAAAAAUACGCACGUCUGUAUCGUCCUGAUCCCGAUUUGCGUCCCGAAGGCAUUUUGUGCAUCCUUUCGCAUAGAACUGCAGAAGAGCAUUCGCGCGCGCCCUCCAAAAACCGGCCUUGUGAAAGUGAAGAUUCAUUUGCAUACGGCACCUCUCUGCUCCUCGCUUGUAAUUAUCGGCA
This is a long non-coding RNA of Anopheles funestus (African malaria mosquito), 711 nucleotides long. RefSeq lists it as uncharacterized. NCBI's taxonomy places the organism in Eukaryota, Metazoa, Arthropoda, Insecta, Diptera, Culicidae. The transcript is spliced from 3 exons. The record is from RefSeq and is a predicted model, not a curated record.